GGAAGACAUCACUGCAGAGAGCACGCUAACUCCGUGCCAGCAGCGCGUAAUACGGAGGUGCAAGCGUAAUCGGAAUUACUGGCGUAAAGCGCGCGUAGGUGGCUGAUAAGCCGGUUGUGAAAGCCUGGGCUCAACCUAGGAACGGCAUCCGGAACUGUUAAGCUAGAGUGCAGGAGAGGAAGGUAGAAUUCCCGGUGUAGCGGUGAAAUGCGUAGAGAUCGGGAGGAAUACCAGUGGCGAAGGCGGCCUUCUGGACUGACACUGACACUGAGGUGCGAAAGCGUGGGUAGCAAACAGGAUUAGAUACCCUGGUAGUCCACGCCGUAAACGAUGUCGACCAGCCGUUGGGUGCCUUGAGCACUUUGUGGCGAAGUUAACGCGAUAAGUCGACCGCCUGGGGAGUACGGCCGCAAGGUUAAAACUCAAAUGAAUUGACGGGGGCCCGCACAAGCGGUGGAGCAUGUGGUUUAAUUCGAUGCAACGCGAAGAACCUUACCUACCCUUGACAUCGACAGAAGCCGGAAGAGAUUCUGGUGUGCCUUCGGGAACUGUCAGACAGGUGCUGCAUGGCUGUCGUCAGCUCGUGUUGUGAAAUGUUGGGUUAAGUCCCGUAACGAGCGCAACCCUUGUCCUUAUUUGCCAGCGGGUAAUGCCGGGAACUCUAAGGAGACUGCCGGUGACAAACCGGAGGAAGGUGGGGACGACGUCAAGUCAUCAUGGCCCAUACGGGUAGGGCUACACACGUGCUACAAUGGCCGGUACAAAGGGCAGCGAGCUCGCGAGAGUCAGCGAAUCCCUUAAAGCCGGUCUCAGUCCGGAUCGGAGUCUGCAACUCGACUCCGUGAAGUCGGAAUCGCUAGUAAUCGUGAAUCAGAAUGUCACGGUGAAUACGUUCCCGGGCCUUGUACACACCGCCCGUCACACCAUGGGAGUGGACUGCACCAGAAGUGGGUAGCCUAACGCAAGAGGGCGAUCACCACGGUGU
Molecule: ribosomal RNA, 985 nt
Filed under: Halomonas sp.
Lineage: Bacteria; Pseudomonadati; Pseudomonadota; Gammaproteobacteria; Oceanospirillales; Halomonadaceae
Description: bacterial SSU rRNA
Rfam family: Bacterial small subunit ribosomal RNA
Source: RNAcentral